UACGUAGGGGGCGAGCGUUGUCCGGAAUUAUUGGGCGUAAAGAGCGUGUAGGCGGUCCGAUAAGUCGGCUGUGAAAGUCCAGGGCUCAACCCUGGAAGGCCGGUCGAUACUGUCGGGCUAGAGUCCGGAAGAGGCGAGUGGAAUUCCCGGUGUAGCGGUGAAAUGCGCAGAUAUCGGGAGGAACACCCAUGGCGAAGGCAGCUCGCUGGGACGGUACUGACGCUGAGGCGCGAAAGCGUGGGGAGCGAACAGGAUUAGAUACCCGAGUAGU
RNAcentral lists this ribosomal RNA (271 nucleotides) under uncultured bacterium. RNAcentral's name for it is "partial 16S ribosomal RNA". It matches the Rfam family "Bacterial small subunit ribosomal RNA", at positions 524 to 794 of the family's 1533-position model. The record is from RNAcentral.